AACGAACGCUGGCGGCAUGCCUAACACAUGCAAGUCGAACGAGACCUUCGGGUCUAGUGGCGCACGGGUGCGUAACGCGUGGGAACCUGCCCUUAGGUUCGGAAUAACUCCCCGAAAGGGGUGCUAAUACCGGAUAAUGUCUUCUGACCAAAGAUUUAUCGCCUUUGGAUGGGCCCGCGUUGGAUUAGCUAGUUGGUAGGGUAUAAGCCUACCAAGGCGACGAUACAUAGCUGGUCUGAGAGGAUGAUCAGCCACACUGGGACUGAGACACGGCCCAGACUCCGACGGGAGGCAGCAGUGGGGAAUAUGGGACAACGGGCGAAAGCCUGAGCCAGCAAGGCCGCGUGAGUGAUGAAUGCGUUAGGAUUGUAAAGCUCUUUUACCCGGGAUGAUAAUGACAGUACCGGGAGAAUAAGCUCGGGCUAACUCCGU
Molecule: ribosomal RNA, 432 nt
Filed under: uncultured bacterium
Lineage: Bacteria
Description: partial 16S ribosomal RNA
Rfam family: Bacterial small subunit ribosomal RNA
Source: RNAcentral